Molecule: ribosomal RNA, 505 nt
Filed under: uncultured bacterium
Lineage: Bacteria
Description: partial 16S ribosomal RNA
Rfam family: Bacterial small subunit ribosomal RNA
Source: RNAcentral
GAUGAACGCUAGCUACAGGCUUAACACAUGCAAGUCGAGGGGUAACGAGAGGAAAGCUUGCUUUCCUUGUCGACGACCGGCGCACGGGUGAGUAACGCGUAUCCAACCUGCCCCCAACUAGGGAAUAACCUUGCGAAAGUAAGACUAAUACCCUAUAAUUUCCUCAGAUGUCAUCUGACGAGGAAUAAAGAUUUAUCGGUUGUGGAUGGGGAUGCGUCUGAUUAGCUUGUUGGCGGGGUAACGGCCCACCAAGGCAACGAUCAGUAGGGGUUCUGAGAGGAAGGUCCCCCACAUUGGAACUGAGACACGGUCCAAACUCCUACGGGAGGCAGCAGUGAGGAAUAUUGGUCAAUGGGCGGAAGCCUGAACCAGCCAAGUAGCGUGCAGGAUGACGGCCCUAUGGGUUGUAAACUGCUUUUAUACAGGAAUAAAGUUAGCCACGUGUGGUUAUUUGUAGGUACUGUAUGAGUAAGGACCGGCUAAUUCCGUGCAGCCGCCGCUGUAA